CUCUUUUUUGUCUUCAUCAAUCCAUUUACAUUUUGUUGUUAAUUUUUUCAAUUGUUUUGUUUUCACUUCAUCCUAAUCAUGAAAUUUUCUAGUUUCUGAUCCUCAUCCUCUUUAUGUUAAUUUAAACCUAAGUGGAAAAUCGUAACAAAUUGAAAUGAUUUAUUCAAGAUUAUGAUUGUGCCUGUUUCAUCUGUUAUUCAAGAUAUAUCAAAGCUUACCAAGACUGGAAUUAUACUCAACAAUCAAAUGCCUCCCAGCUGAUGAUGGUUAACUACGACUUAUUUAUGAAUGAUGGUCUAGAAGAGCGGUAUUGAUUUAAAGAAACAAUGAAUGAUCUGAUUAAAGCUCACAUUCGAGAGGAGAGGAAUUGGCUGUGAAGCGAUUGUUUAUUUUGUCUACCAAAUCUUCCCUAGCAAGUACAGUCCUAUUGCAGCUACAAUUCAUAAUCAGUCAGAUUCUGAUUACCAUCUGAAAGUGUCAAUUGAAAUUGGUGAAAUCUCCUUGUUGCCAUCAAGCAAUCAUUUGAUUCCUUGUAUGCGUUUUUGACUAGCAUUCAUUAUUAAUAUUUAAUAACUCCAUCCAACAGUUACAUUUUAUAAUUUAAAGCCUCUUCUUAAUUUCAAUCAACUCCACACUUAUUUACUAAUUAGCAAAUAAUUUUGUUUUCCUUUCCCACCAUGAAAAGUAGUUGCAUAUAAUACUGUUAUUAAUAUAGAUUAACAUCUCCCCAAUUGAGGUUUAACAAAUUUGUAACUACUCUUUAAAUGCCACUGAAGGUCAAUCUGAAGUGCAAAUAAUUAUAUAAGAAUUAAUUAUGAGCUGAAAUUUGGGAAUGAAAUAAAAAAUCUAAUAUAAAAUUAAAAGAUUAACAAACAAUAAGAA
Tetranychus urticae (two-spotted spider mite) is the source of this 882-nucleotide long non-coding RNA. RefSeq lists it as uncharacterized. NCBI's taxonomy places the organism in Eukaryota, Metazoa, Arthropoda, Arachnida, Trombidiformes, Tetranychidae. The record is from RefSeq and is a predicted model, not a curated record.